Molecule: ribosomal RNA, 254 nt
Filed under: uncultured bacterium
Lineage: Bacteria
Description: partial 16S ribosomal RNA
Rfam family: Bacterial small subunit ribosomal RNA
Source: RNAcentral
UACAGAGGGGGCAAGCGUUAUUCGGAAUUAUUGGGCGUAAAGGGCGCGUAGGCGGCUUGGCAAGUGGAAGGUGAAAUCCCUCGGCUUAACCGAGGAACUGCCCUCCAAACUGCUUUGCUUGAGGCCGGGAGAGGUGAGUGGAAUUCCCAGUGUAGCGGUGAAAUGCGUAGAUAUUGGGAGGAACACCAGUGGCGAAGGCGGCUCACUGGACCGGUUCUGACGCUGAUGCGCGAAAGCGUGGGGAGCAAACGGGG